GGGAGGUAGUGACAAGAAAUAACAAUACGGGGCUUAAUGUCUUGUAAUUGGAAUGAUGGGAAUUUAAACCUCUUCCAGAGUAUCAAUUGGAGGGCAAGUCUGGUGCCAGCAGCCGCGGUAAUUCCAGCUCCAAUAGCGUAUAUUAAAAUUGUUGCAGUUAAAAAGCUCGUAGUUGAAUUUCUGCUGCAUUGCUUUUGCUCCUUUACGAGUCUUUGCAUUGUGGCUUAUUUCGGACUUUGUUUUACAAUGUCCGGAUGUUUACUUUGAGAAAAUUAGAGUGCUCAAAGCAGGCUUUCGCCUUGAAUAGUUUAGCAUGGAAUAAUAAAGUAGGACUUUGGUUCUAUUUUGUUGGUUUUAGGUACCAAAGUAAUGGUUAAUAGGAACAGUUGGGGGCAUUCGUAUUUAACUGUCAGAGGUGAAAUUCUUAGAUUUGUUAAAGACGAACUACUGCGAAAGCAUUUGCCAAGGAUGUUUUCAUUAAUCAAGAACGAAAGUUAGGGGAUCGAAGACGAUCAGAUACCGUCGUAGUCCUAACCAUAAACUAUGCCGACUAGAGAUUGGAGGUCGUCAGUUUUUACGACUCCUUCAGCACCUUGAGAGAAAUCAAAGUCUUUGGGUUCUGGGGGGAGUAAUGGUCGCAAGGCUGAAACUUAA
Molecule: ribosomal RNA, 654 nt
Filed under: Theileria ovis
Lineage: Eukaryota; Apicomplexa; Aconoidasida; Piroplasmida; Theileriidae
Description: SSU rRNA
Rfam family: Eukaryotic small subunit ribosomal RNA
Source: RNAcentral